AGUCACUGACAUUAGAUACCCGUGUAGUCCAGGGUGUAAACGCUGCAGACUUGGUGUUGGAAGCCCUUUGGGGGCAUUCAGUGCCGGAGAGAAGUUGUUAAGUCUGCUACUUGGGAGUACGUCCGCAAGGAUGAAACUUAAAGGAAUUGGCGGGGAGCACCACAACGCGUGGAGCCUGCGGUUUAAUUGGAUUCAACGCCGGACAUCUCACCAGAGGCGACAGCUGUAUGAUAGCCUGGUUGAUGACUUUGCUUGACUAGCUG
Molecule: ribosomal RNA, 263 nt
Filed under: uncultured archaeon
Lineage: Archaea
Description: partial 16S ribosomal RNA
Rfam family: Archaeal small subunit ribosomal RNA
Source: RNAcentral